GAGAGAGAGGCAAAGGGGGAGGCGUGAUUCUACCACUAGACGUUUCUCCUUUUUUUUGGGGAUUUGCUUCUUUGUGAUAUUUCUCCGUUUUUUGGAUUUGCUUCUGAUUGAUCGACGCACGAAUCGUCUUUGUUUUGAAUUUAUUGGGAGGUGAUCAUUUAGGCUGACAGAAGAGAGUGAGCACGCAGCGGGGAGGGCAUCGGGCGCGGUGACUUCGCUGUUGCGUGCUCACUGCUCUGUCUGUCAUCCCGAUGAUCUCUGCGCCACCGGCACGGCACGGUUCCCCGCUGCCCAGAUCUACGUCCUGUUCGUUACUCUGCGUGGAGGAAUGGGACGAGAGAGAUGGAAUGGUCAAGCCGUGGCUACGAUUUGCACGCUUGCGAUCUGCUUUAUUUUAUUUUAUUCGAUCUUUUCGGUUUUGCCUUCGUCCUCGAGCUUGGGGGUGCAGGCUGUGCUACAUUUUAACUCAUGCCGAUUAGCCUACCUUCCUCCUCUGUCUUGUAGAGCGUGGUUUCCGAGGAGGCUUCGGCAUGUGAUUACAGGGUGUACUUGUGUCUCGUCUUGAACGCUUCUUCACUUUUGUUUUUGUUUUGCUCGAUUUAGACAUUAGACCGGAUUGGAACGCGAACUUGAAUGAAAAUAGGAAAGAAAAUCUUUUGAUUGAAUUGGGCCUGGAAGCGUGACUUCCGAGGAGAGUUCUCGCAUCGGGGAAAGGAAGAAACCAAUUUGCAUACCCGUACCGCCUAUUCCUGCCAUCUGUUCGAAUUUAAUGGAAUUUACUGUUCUUCUUUUGUUUAUAUUUCUAUUCAUUAAAACAGAACAAUUUCUUUUGCUUGCUUUGUUCUUUGUUUUUUUUUGUUUUAAAUUCUUCCCUGCAGAUUGAUGUACUGAUUUCUAGAGUUCGGCUGUCUGCGUCUCCGUACACUAUUUUGUCCGAAGAUGGAAAGCCACAUCUUCAUUUUGUGAUUCAGAAGGACCCUCCCGCUUGAAGACCCAUCACGAGCAGGUUUCAAUUUAUUUGUUGGAAAUAUUUAUUUGGCCGGUCGUACGUUUGCUAAUUUUUGGCUGGAGGAAUGUAUUCUUUGAAGAUGCUCCAAGAGACCUUGUUGAACCGACUUUUUUUUUUCCCGUCUGGUAAAGGUUCACAUCAAUUAUGAACGGAACGUAGACAGCAACCAACAUCCCUCGAUGAAGGAAAACAGACGUUAAUUUUUUAUAUUCUUCAUUAUACAAUAGUGAAGAAAUUGUUCAGGAGCAUUUCACUUUAAGUCAAUCACUAGCCGAAAGCUUUCUUAAUUGGAGUUCCCUUGCUGAAAUUUUACAAAGUUGGAUGAAAACUUUAGAUUGAAAUUUAUAUGUAAUUUACCAUAUUUUUUUUAUAAAUGUUUGAGCACUGUGACAUUGUAAAUUGAAUAUUGAAUUGUUAUUUUAGUAACAUUGUUGUAUCUAUAAAAUUGCUACAAGUUUUCAUCAUUUAUGAAAUUUCCUUA
Molecule: long non-coding RNA, 1490 nt
Organism: Zingiber officinale
Lineage: Eukaryota; Viridiplantae; Streptophyta; Magnoliopsida; Zingiberales; Zingiberaceae
Exons: 3
Source: RefSeq, a predicted model, not a curated record